AUUGAACGCUGGCGGCAGGCUUAACACAUGCAAGUCGAGCGGGGGAAGGUAGCUUGCUACCGGACCUAGCGGCGGACGGGUGAGUAAUGCUUAGGAAUCUGCCUAUUAGUGGGGGACAACAUCUCGAAAGGGAUGCUAAUACCGCAUACGUCCUACGGGAGAAAGCAGGGGAUCUUCGGACCUUGCGCUAAUAGGUGAGCCUAAGUCGGAUUAGCUAGUUGGUGGGGUAAAGGCCUACCAAGGCGACGAUCUGUAGCGGGUCUGAGAGGAUGAUCCGCCACACGGGGACUGAGACACGGCCCAGACGCCUACGGGAGGCAGCAGUGGGGAAUAUUGGACAAUGGGGGGAACCCUGAUCCAGCCAUGCCGCGUGUGUGAAGAAGGCCUUAUGGUUGUAAAGCACUUUAAGCGAGGAGGAGGCUACUUUAGUUAAUACCUAGAGAUAGUGGACGUUACUCGCAGAAUAAGCACCGGCUAACUCUGUGCCAGCCGCCGCCGUAA
This 501-nucleotide ribosomal RNA is filed under the name uncultured bacterium. RNAcentral's name for it is "partial 16S ribosomal RNA". It matches the Rfam family "Bacterial small subunit ribosomal RNA", at positions 30 to 523 of the family's 1533-position model. The record is from RNAcentral.